CAGUAGCCACGGGAAUACGUAGGGUGCAAGCGUUAAUCGGAAUUACUGGGCGUAAAGCGUGCGCAGGCGGUUAUAUAAGACAGAUGUGAAAUCCCCGGGCUCAACCUGGGAACUGCAUUUGUGACUGUAUAGCUAGAGUACGGCAGAGGGGGAUGGAAUUCCGCGUGUAGCAGUGAAAUGCGUAGAUAUGCGGAGGAACACCGAUGGCGAAGGCAAUCCCCUGGUCCUGUACUGACGCUCAUGCACGAAAGCGUGGGGAGCAAACAGGAUUAGAUACCCCUGUAGUUCCUGUCUCUUAUAC
This 301-nucleotide ribosomal RNA is filed under the name uncultured bacterium. RNAcentral describes it as "partial 16S ribosomal RNA". It matches the Rfam family "Bacterial small subunit ribosomal RNA", at positions 509 to 807 of the family's 1533-position model. The record is from RNAcentral.